This 162-nucleotide ribosomal RNA is filed under the name Bacillus sp. CM10. RNAcentral describes it as "partial 16S ribosomal RNA". It matches the Rfam family "Bacterial small subunit ribosomal RNA", at positions 56 to 214 of the family's 1533-position model. Lineage: Bacteria; Bacillati; Bacillota; Bacilli; Caryophanales; Bacillaceae. The record is from RNAcentral.
UGCAAGUCGAGCGGAUCGAUGGGAGCUUGCUCCCUGAGAUCAGCGGCGGACGGGUGAGUAACACGUGGGUAACCUGCCUGUAAGACUGGGAUAACUCCGGGAAACCGGGGCUAAUACCGGAUAAUUUAGUUCCUCGCAUGAGGAACUGUUGAAAGGUGGCUU